RNAcentral lists this ribosomal RNA (253 nucleotides) under uncultured bacterium. RNAcentral describes it as "partial 16S ribosomal RNA". It matches the Rfam family "Bacterial small subunit ribosomal RNA", at positions 524 to 776 of the family's 1533-position model. The record is from RNAcentral.
UACGUAGGGUGCAAGCGUUGUCCGGAAUCAUUGGGCGUAAAGCGCGUGUAGGCGGCCCGGUAAGUCCGCUGUGAAAGUCGGGGGCUCAACCCUCGGAUGCCGGUGGAUACUGUCGGGCUAGAGUACGGAAGAGGCGAGUGGAAUUCCUGGUGUAGCGGUGAAAUGCGCAGAUAUCAGGAGGAACACCAAUUGCGAAGGCAGCUCGCUGGGACGUUACUGACGCUGAGACGCGAAAGCGUGGGGAGCAAACAGG